UAGAGUUUGAUCCUGGCUCAGGAUAAACGCUGGCGGCGUGCCUAACACAUGCAAGUCGAACGCUCUACGCAAGUAGAGAAGUGGCGGACGGGUGAGGAACACGUGGGUAUCUGCCUUUCGGUGAGGAAUACCGGCGAGAAAUCGCCGACAAUACCGCAUACGCUCAGCAGUGAGCAAAGUCGCAAGACGCCGGGAGAUGAGCCUGCGCCCGAUUAGCUGGUUGGUGGGGUAAAGGCCUACCAAAGCGACGAUCGGUAGCUGGUCUGAGAGGACGAUCAGCCACACUGGGAUUGAGAACGGCCCAGACUCCUACGGGGGGCAGCAGUGAGGAAUUUUCGUCAAUGGGGGAAACCCUGAACGAGCAACGCCGCGUGCAGGAAGAAGGUCUUCGGAUCGUAAACUGCUUUUCUCUGGGACGAGAACGGACGGUACCAGAGGAAGAAGCCCCGGCUAACUACGUGCCAGCAGCCGCGGUAA
RNAcentral lists this ribosomal RNA (477 nucleotides) under uncultured bacterium. RNAcentral describes it as "bacterial SSU rRNA". It matches the Rfam family "Bacterial small subunit ribosomal RNA", at positions 1 to 523 of the family's 1533-position model. The record is from RNAcentral.